RNAcentral lists this ribosomal RNA (484 nucleotides) under uncultured bacterium. Its description in RNAcentral is "partial 16S ribosomal RNA". It matches the Rfam family "Bacterial small subunit ribosomal RNA", at positions 30 to 507 of the family's 1533-position model. The record is from RNAcentral.
AUUGAACGCUGGCGGAAUGCUUUACACAUGCAAGUCGAACGGCAGCACGGGGGCAGCCCUGGUGGCGAGUGGCGAACGGGUGAGUAAUACAUCGGAACGUGCCCGGUCGUGGGGGAUAACGUAGCGAAAGUUACGCUAAUACCGCAUACGAUCUGAGGAUGAAAGCGGGGGACCUUCGGGCCUCGCGCGAUCGGAGCGGCCGAUGUCAGAUUAGGUAGUUGGUGGGGUAAAGGCCUACCAAGCCGACGAUCUGUAGCUGGUCUGAGAGGACGACCAGCCACACUGGGACUGAGACACGGCCCAGACUCCUACGGGAGACAGCAGUGGGGAAUUUUGGACAAUGGGCGCAAGCCUGAUCCAGCCAUUCCGCGUGCAGGACGAAGGCCUUCGGGUUGUAAACUGCUUUUGUACGGAACGAAAAGGCUCUGGCUAAUACCUGGGGCUCAUGACGGUACCGUAAGAAUAAGCACCGGCUAACUACGUG